This 301-nucleotide ribosomal RNA is filed under the name uncultured bacterium. Its description in RNAcentral is "partial 16S ribosomal RNA". It matches the Rfam family "Bacterial small subunit ribosomal RNA", at positions 509 to 808 of the family's 1533-position model. The record is from RNAcentral.
CAGUCGCCACGGUAAUACGUAGGGUGCGAGCGUUAAUCGGAAUUACUGGGCGUAAAGCGUGCGCAGGCGGUUGUGUAAGACAGGUGUGAAAUCCCCGGGCUUAACCUGGGAACUGCGCUUGUGACUGCACAGCUAGAGUAUGGCAGAGGGGGGUGGAAUUCCACGUGUAGCAGUGAAAUGCGUAGAGAUGUGGAGGAACACCGAUGGCGAAGGCAGCCCCCUGGGCCAAUACUGACGCUCAUGCACGAAAGCGUGGGGAGCAAACAGGAUUAGAUACCCGGUAGUCCCUGUCUCUUAUACA